AUGGAUUAGCGGCGGACGGGUGAGUAACACGUGAGUAACCUGCCUUUGACACAGGGAUAGCCUCGGGAAACCGGGAUUAAUACCAGAUAACAUUAUCAGAUCGCAUGAGAAGAUAAUCAAAGCUGAGGCGGUCAAAGAUGGACUCGCGUCCCAUUAGCUAGUUGGUAGAGUAAUAGCCUACCAAGGCAACGAUGGGUAGCCGGCCUGAGAGGGUGAACGGCCACAUUGGAACUGAGAAACGGUCCAAACUCCUACGGGAGGCAGCAGUGGGGAAUAUUGCACAAUGGGGGAAACCCUGAUGCAGCGACGCCGCGUGAGCGAAGAAGGUUUUCGAAUCGUAAAGCUCUGUCCUAUGGGAAGAUAACGACGGUACCAUAGGAGGAAGCCCCGGCUAACUACGUGCCAGCAGCCGCGGUAAUACGUAGGGGGCAAGCGUUGUCCGGAAUCACUGGGCGUAAAGGGUUCGCAGGCGGAAAUGCAAGUCAGUUGUGAAAGGCAGAGGCUCAACCUCUGUAAGCAAUUGAAACUGUAUUUCUUGAGAUGUGGAGAGGCAAGUGGAAUUCCUAGUGUAGCGGUGAAAUGCGUAGAUAUUAGGAAGA
Molecule: ribosomal RNA, 599 nt
Filed under: uncultured Clostridium sp.
Lineage: Bacteria; Bacillati; Bacillota; Clostridia; Eubacteriales; Clostridiaceae
Description: bacterial SSU rRNA
Rfam family: Bacterial small subunit ribosomal RNA
Source: RNAcentral